RNAcentral lists this long non-coding RNA (585 nucleotides) under Ailuropoda melanoleuca (giant panda). Its description in RNAcentral is "lncRNA (ENSAMEG00000025132.1)". Lineage: Eukaryota; Metazoa; Chordata; Mammalia; Carnivora; Ursidae. The record is from RNAcentral.
CUGGGUUAGAGUACAAUUCUGAUUUUUAAGCCAGUAUAUUUUCUCCAUUAUCAUUCCUUUAUAUCAUACUAGGCUACAUUUAAAGAACAAAGAAGAAAAGUUGUUACCAAAGAGAAUCCCACCAGAAUCCAGGUUGAAGGCUGGACAUACAACAGAACAGAGAAUAACAUCCGACCCCAGGGAUUUCCAUUUGUCAAUGAAAGAGAAGAAUCCAACCAAAACAUUACUAUUGGACAAGUUAGGAGAGACCUAAAGGAAAAUUGGCCUGGGGCUGUCCCCAGAUCUGUAGAACAGUUGCUUCCUUCCUUCAUCUCAGAUGUCUCACUGCCAAGCCCAUGGUCUCAAUAGUGAGCCUUAACUUCCAAUAGAUCAUGAAAGCUUUCCAGCCCAUCUGCAAAAAUGCUUCUGAAAAAGAGUUUAUUGACCACAUAAUCAAUCUGAGGAACAGAGAAAGGGACGAUGAGCUGAGGAGAAGAGAGAGAGGGUAAGAGAAAUACUUUUAGUAAAUAAGGUCAUUUAUCUUGUAAUAACGUCUUGAUUUACAGAAAGGGAUGAUCUUGGGGUCGGAGUGUCAAGAAAAGGGGG